GAGUAAUGUCUGGGAAACUGCCUGAUGGAGGGGGAUAACUACUGGAAACGGUGGCUAAUACCGCAUAACGUCGCAAGACCAAAGAGGGGGACCUUCGGGCCUCUUGCCAUCAGAUGUGCCCAGAUGGGAUUAGCUUGUUGGUGAGGUAACGGCUCACCAAGGCGACGAUCCCUAGCUGGUCUGAGAGGAUGACCAGCCACACUGGAACUGAGACACGGUCCAGACUCCUACGGGAGGCAGCAGUGGGGAAUAUUGCACAAUGGGCGCAAGCCUGAUGCAGCCAUGCCGCGUGUAUGAAGAAGGCCUUCGGGUUGUAAAGUACUUUCAGCGGGGAGGAAGGUGUUGUGGUUAAUAACCGCAGCAAUUGACGUUACCCGCAGAAGAAGCACCGGCUAACUCCGUGCCAGCAGCCGCGGUAAUACGGAGGGUGCAAGCGUUAAUCGGAAUUACUGGGCGUAAAGCGCACGCAGGCGGUCUGUCAAGUCGGAUGUGAAAUCCCCGGGCUCAACCUGG
Molecule: ribosomal RNA, 513 nt
Filed under: Salmonella enterica
Lineage: Bacteria; Pseudomonadati; Pseudomonadota; Gammaproteobacteria; Enterobacterales; Enterobacteriaceae
Description: bacterial SSU rRNA
Rfam family: Bacterial small subunit ribosomal RNA
Source: RNAcentral